Molecule: non-coding RNA, 967 nt
Organism: Dermacentor albipictus
Lineage: Eukaryota; Metazoa; Arthropoda; Arachnida; Ixodida; Ixodidae
Source: RefSeq, a predicted model, not a curated record
GUUAGUAGAACAACUCUAGAGGAAAAGCUGGGCCGGAAAAGUGGGAACCUCUAGGGCGCCGCCCUGUUGCUACUGGUCAAUGUGGCCAGCGCAAUUACUAUUGAAAGAGCUGAGAACAAGUACAGGUCACCUUAUGCUUUGUCACCUAAAAACGCAUACCUGAUGGCUUUAUGAAGGUGGUACGUUAAUAUUAAGUUUACAGAAAGCGAUCGCUAAGUCCGUGACUUAUGUAAAUCACGAUGUACGCAUUCAUGCAAUAAAGGAUGACGCGAAUUUCGGUUUCGAAUCUGUUUUUUGGAUGCGUAGUAGUUUCGUUUGACAUGCGAUCGCGCGUCGACAUCGGACGCUAUGACACACUCGUGCCUUAUGUGCCACCGAAGCCCCGAAGUGGUCUGGCAUAUACCUUCACAUAUAUGCAAUGGCAAGCCCUUCCGUGUGUUCCAAAGACAAUGCCUACGCCUAGCCACAGCAGCUCCCUCAUACAGACUCCGCAAACCAAGAGGCCGUGGAGGCAAAUGCAGGUAAGAGGCAAUAAGCAAUAGCACUGGUAUCGACAUUCAUCUAAUUUCUUUUUAUUUCGUUUAGGCAGCCAGCACACCUCGAACAGCCACCUUGACUGCGGGUGUGUCACCCUAGUCGCCAAGGAAACAUUUGAGGGAAAGUGACAGGCAAUGUGAACAGCCACUCCUCCAUGUAAACAAUACUCUUUCUCUCGGAUGACUCCUACGCCUCACCACGCCAGCACACUUGUGCACAAAGAUGCCGCAGAGGCACGUGCAGGUCAGAGGCAAGAAGCAGUGGCACUGGUGUCGACAUUUACCCAAUUUCUUUUUCUUACACUGAGGCAGCCAGCACACCUCGAACAGCCACCUCGACUGCGGGUGUGUUAGUUGAUCCCUGUUGUACAUAUGCUCAUAAUAAACUUCAGUAAACUUGAACUUCAUAAUAAACUUGAAGGCAAAUGGUA